UGGUAUUAUAUUUUAAAAAGAAAACUUGAUUUGCAAUUAAUAAGUAAUAGUAUCUACUAUUUAAUACCA
Molecule: transfer RNA, 69 nt
Filed under: Argonauta nodosus
Lineage: Eukaryota; Metazoa; Mollusca; Cephalopoda; Octopoda; Argonautidae
Description: tRNA-Ala
Source: RNAcentral